AUGGCGGCGUCUCUGCAAGGCCUAUACAAUGGGGGCAGCGGCUUGGGCGGGAGGGUCGUCCACGCCAGGAGCGGCGGUCGCCGGUCAGCUGCGGCGGUGAAGCGGCUGCUGUCGAGGUUGAGGCGCUCUUGGAGAAGACGCACGGCGCGGCCGAGGCGAACCGCGGUGAGGUUCGGGUAUGACCUGCAUAGCUACUACCAGAACUUCGACGACGGCACUGCCUCCCGCGCCCACCACCGCUUGUAG
RNAcentral lists this long non-coding RNA (246 nucleotides) under Zea mays. RNAcentral describes it as "drought-responsive long non-coding RNA". Lineage: Eukaryota; Viridiplantae; Streptophyta; Magnoliopsida; Poales; Poaceae. The record is from RNAcentral.